UUGAUCCUGGCUCAGAACGAACGCUGGCGGCAUGCUUAACACAUGCAAGUCGAACGAGAAAGCAACUUCGGUUGUGAGUAAAGUGGCGCACGGGUGAGUAAUACGUGGAUAACCUGUCUUCGAGCGGGGGACAACAUUCCGAAAGGAGUGCUAAGACCGCAUAAGACCACACAUACUACGGUAUGAGGGGUCAAAGAUGCCAGAGCUUGCAGGUAUCGCUUGAAGAGGGGUUCACGUCCGAUUAGCUUGUUGGUAGGGUAGCGACCUACCAAGGUAACGAUCGGUAGCUGGUCUGAGAGGAUGAUCAGCCACACUGGAACUGAAACACGGUCCAGACUCCUACGGGAGGCAGCAGUGGGGAAUUUUGCGCAAUGGGGGAAACCCUGACGCAGCAAUGCCGCGUGAGUGAUGAAGGCCUUCGGGUCGUAAAGCUCUGUUAGACGGGAAGAAAAAGUACGAAGGUAACAUCUUCGUGCCUUGACGGUACCGUCAGAGGAAGCACCGGCUAACUCCGUGCCAGCAGCCGCGGUAAUACGGAGGGUGCUAGCGUUGUUCGGAAUCACUGGGCGUAAAGAGCGUGUAGGUGGAGUAUUAAGUCAGAUGUGAAAGCCCGGAGCUUAACUUCGGAAGUGCAUCUGAAACUAAUAUUCUAGAGUACAGUUGGGGGUGGUGGAAUUCCUAGUGUAGAGGUGAAAUUCGUAGAUAUUAGGAGGAACACCAGUGGCGAAGGCGGCCACCUGGGCUUGUACUGACACUGAGACGCGAAAGCGUGGGGAGCAAACAGGAUUAGAUACCCUGGUAGUCCACGCCGUAAACGAUGGGUACUAGAUGUUGGAGGGGUUAAAUCUCUUCAGUGUCGCAGCUAACGCAUUAAGUACCCCGCCUGGGAAUUACGGUCGCAAGAUUAAAACUCAAAGAAAUUGACGGGGGCCCGCACAAGCGGUGGAGCAUGUGGUUCAAUUCGAAGCAACGCGCAGAACCUUACCUGGGUUUGAACUGCUCCUGCCCGACUUGGAGACAGGUCUUUCUCGCAAGAGACGGGAGAUAGAGGUGCUGCAUGGCUGUCGUCAGCUCGUGUCGUGAGAUGUUGGGUUAAGUCCCGCAACGAGCGCAACCCUUAUCCUUAUUUGCCAGUAUUAAGUUAGGUACUCUAAGGAGACUGCCGGUGUUAAACCGGAGGAAGGUGGGGAUGACGUCAAGUCCUCAUGGCCUUUAUGCCCAGGGCUACACACGUGCUACAAUGGUAGGUACAAAGAGUUGCCAACCCGCAAGGGGGAGCUAAUCUCAGAAAACCUAUCUCAGUUCGGAUUGGAGUCUGCAAUUCGACUCCAUGAAGUUGGAAUCGCUAGUAAUCGCGGAUCAGACUGCCGCGGUGAAUACGUUCCCGGGCCUUGUACACACCGCCCGUCACACCACGAAAGCAGACUGAACCAGAAGAUCCUGGUCUAACCGCAAGGAGGAAGGGAUCCAA
Molecule: ribosomal RNA, 1471 nt
Filed under: uncultured organism
Description: bacterial SSU rRNA
Rfam family: Bacterial small subunit ribosomal RNA
Source: RNAcentral